RNAcentral lists this long non-coding RNA (329 nucleotides) under Mytilus galloprovincialis (Mediterranean mussel). Lineage: Eukaryota; Metazoa; Mollusca; Bivalvia; Mytilida; Mytilidae. The record is from RNAcentral.
CGGCGGAAAACGGAAUCGCAGUUAUAAAAAUGUACUUUUUUUCACUCGGACUUCUAUGUUAUUUGAUAGUCAAACGGUUGACCCUUUAAAUACAAAAAUACAUCUACAAGAACAUAUUCUGAAACUUCUUAAAUCCACUAACGUUUUUUUAAAGUUUCAAGCUAUGUAUUGCAUUAGAAAACAUACAUAGGUGUUAAAGAAUGACAGACCAGGAGCCUGUUUAACAAAAUACUAUGGCUUGAUAUGGGCGGAGUCUCUGAUCUGGGUCACAAAGAUGGCCAUACGCGAUAGCAUAAAAGCAAUUGCUUUAAAAAAGGUAAAGAACAAAA